Molecule: unclassified non-coding RNA, 223 nt
Filed under: uncultured Aspergillus
Lineage: Eukaryota; Fungi; Ascomycota; Eurotiomycetes; Eurotiales; Aspergillaceae
Description: sequence contains ITS1
Rfam family: 5.8S ribosomal RNA (bases 1-104)
Source: RNAcentral
GAAAUGCGAUAAUUAAUGUGAAUUGCAGAAUUCAGUGAAUCAUCGAGUCUUUGAACGCACAUUGCGCCCCCUGGUAUUCCGGGGGCAUGCCUGUCCGAGCGUCAUUGCUGCCCUCAAGCACGGCUUGUGUGUUGGGCUUCCGUCCCUGGCAACGGGGACGGGCCCAAAAGUACAUUUUUACACUCUUGACCUCGGAUCAGGUAGGGAUACCCGCUGAACUUAA